RNAcentral lists this long non-coding RNA (4113 nucleotides) under Solanum tuberosum (potato). Its description in RNAcentral is "long non-coding RNA (STUB_LNC010227)". The record is from RNAcentral. Lineage: Eukaryota; Viridiplantae; Streptophyta; Magnoliopsida; Solanales; Solanaceae.
AUAAAUUGAUUUUUUCAACAAUUUUUUUUUUAAUUGGAAGUUGGAAGAGAGUUUUGGAAAAUGUUUUCCUUAAGUUUUGAAGAGAAGUCAUUUUCCUUAAAUUUGAGGAAAAUGAGUUGAUUUGAAAAACAUUUUCCAAAAAUUUAACCCAAUCAAACAUGAGAAAAUUGGAAAACAUUUUCCGAAAAAUGUUUUCCUUCAUACCAAACACACCCUUAAUCAUGAAAUUUAUGUUUUUUUUUUCCUUCUAGGUUACUAGUUCCAAGGUCAUGCUAGAACAUCGAUGUGGUAAAUUAAGCCAAAUCCCAUGAGCAGCAGGCAAUUACGUUAGGUAAAUUUUCAUUUACAAUUUAUAGGCACUUUGUAAUCUACUAAUUUCUAUCCUUCUUUUUGUUGGGAACUGAUUUUCGGAGGUCUGUGCUGAUGAAUACAACACUACCUUCCUAAAAAAAAAAAAAAAAGAAGUUUAAUCAAGAAAAUUUAUGUUGCUGCUCAUAGGUUACUAGGUACAAGGUCAUGGUAGAACUUCCUUGUGGUAUAUCAAGUCAAAAUCCACGGGCAGUAAUCACAUUAGGUAUUUUUAUUUAGUUGUUAAAGGACUGCUAUAAAAAGUCUGUCAAGUUCUUUUUUGCAUUCCUUUUCUCUCACGAAACAAUUUUACUGUUUAAACGGGGUUUGUUAUGUUUCAUAGAGGCUCAUGGGGUACAAACGGCUACAAAUUACUGUACCUGGAAACUGAAGGCUGCCCAGAGUUAGAAGAAAGUUGCACCAAUCGGAGUAGCUCAAACUCCCACUAGUCCAACAUUUCCCGUGUUCCAAAUAUUGAAGUAGAUGGGAGGAAAAUUCAGAACUUAUGUAAGUCUCUGUUUCUUCUUCUAAUUUUUAAAUUUUCAUAUCUUGAUAUGAAAAUUUAUGUGUUUUUUUAUAGGUUACUAGUUCCACGGUCAUGCUAGAACGUCUCUGUGGUAAAUUAAGCCUCAUCCCAUGAGCGGCAGGCAAUUAUGUCAGAUAAAUUUUCAUAUAGGAUUUAUAGGCACUUUGUAAUCUUCUAAAUUUUGUGUCUUCCUUUUUGUUGGGAACAAAUUUUUGGAGGUCUAUGCUGAUGAAUACAACAUGAAAAUUUAUGUUGAUGCUCAUACAUUACUAGGUACAAGGUCAUGGAAGAACUUCAUUGUGGUUUAUCAAGUCAAAAUCCAUGGGCAGCAAUCACAUUAGGUAUCUUUAUUAGUUGUUAGAGGAAUGCUAUAACAAGUUUGUCAGCUUCAUUCCUUUUCUCUCAUGAUACAUUUUUACUGUUUAACCAGGUUUGUUAUGUUUCACAGAGGAACCACCACUUUUAUUUUGUUUGAAGAACAGAAUCUUCAGCUGUAGACUCAUUACGAAACACUUUCAUGAGUAUUUGGGUACUGAACAUCUUUUCGGGAAACUGUAGUCUACAUAUGAAACAUCAAAAAACUCAAAGCAUAUAGGGUGCUCAAUGUGAAGCUACACACGUCUAUCCUCUGUCUUUGCAUGAACCUAUUUGCCUUUUUAUUCUCCAUGUAAGUUUCUGCAAUUUUAUUUGACGAAUAAAGUCUGAUAUCUACUUUCAUAGGGACUUUGUAUUUAACUUUCUAUGAAAUUGUGAACUGUUAGAAUGUAACCUGUUUUAUUCCCUUUUACUUUCAAUGAUUUACUAUCUCACAGUAUUAAUGUCUGUGCCUCCCCUCUCCCAUCCGGUACGAAAUAAGAAGAAUCUUAGUAUUUGUCAUAUCUAGUCAGGUGAUAUGAUGAAGAUAAUGGAAGUAAUGGAUGGUCGGUGUGUUAUGAAUGGGCCUAGACCAGUAUUGACAAAGCAGCCCAAAGCCGAAUUAAAAGGGCUAUGUGUGGGAUCCGGGUUGAUAAAUAGAGACUUGGGAGAGCAAAAUAGUUUUAUGCAAAUUAUGUGAAGCUUUGGCUUUCUGAUCCUCUCAUCUCCUUUCUAUGGUCUAGAAUCUCAUCCCCUUCUAGUUACCCUCUUCUAUGUUAUCUAUCUAUAAUUAGUGUGUUGUUACUUUGUUGUGGGUAUUAUACAUUGUAACUUGUAUUCCGUAAUAACAAUAUAUAUAUCAGUGUUUGUGUUGAAAAUUGAGUUUGUUACAUUGGUGCUUUCAUCCAGAGGUUUCUCAUGGAGGACCAAAGACUCAAGGCUCUCAUCAAUGAAUCCAUUAAGGAGGCAAAAGAGUCAUUUUCCAAAGAUAUUGCAGACAUUCGCCAUAUGUUACAGGAGGUUACCCGAAAGUUCGUUCCGGCAGGGCCUCACAUUCGAGAUCCAACAAUGGAGGUUGCUCGUCCUCAUCACGGGAAAGGCACUCUUGAAUCCCCCACACUCCGUCAUAGGCCAGCUCCGGUGGAACUAGGACGAUUUCGUGGUGAAAAUCCAGAGGCGUGGAUUUUCCAAGCUGAAUGCUAUUUUGAUUUUUACGGAAUCGUAGAAACGCACAAGCUAACCUUGGCAUCCUUUUAUCUCAACGGUGAAGCUUUGGAAUGGUAUCAAUGGUUGUUUUGCAACAAACAACUGGCUGGCUGGGACCAUUUUGUGGACAAAUUGCUGAUUCGUUUUCGCUCCCGUACUAGGGACAAACAACGCGAGUUCUUACCCAUUCCCAGAAACAAGAAUCAUAGGGCAGUGGAGUACUCUCAGGCGGUUAGUCCAUCGUUGGUUAAUAUUGAGACUUUGGGUCCCAUGUUGGACUCCAAAUAUGACUUGAAGAACAACCCAAACGGCUAUGCCUGCAAGGUGUUCGCUGAAAUGCCCGAUAAGAAAAUUGACAUGGAAGUUGAACAUCCAGUGAUAACUGAUUCAACAAAUCUGGCAUCCCAUAUGUUUGAUGAAAAUUUUCAAACAGUUUCUGCAUUUUAAGGGAGAGUACGGUGAGCUUAUCAUGUUUGAUAAUAAUUGUCUUGCACUACCUUGUUUGCCUUCGAUUUUUAGUCGCACCCAACUUAUGGGAAGAUCUAUAUUUGAUUACUUCAAGGAAUUCGGUCAUGCUAACCUCCCAUUAUCGUUGUAUCAAUUUCCACUUGAUCAUUUCGGGUUCAGCUUUCCAUUUGAUCCUGGUUCUAGUUUGAAAGUUGGAGUCGCGCUGUGAUAAUUUGGAGCAAUGUACUGCUCAUCGGUAAAGUUGCAAGAGAACUGCCUACACCUGCUUCUAACUUGCUGAUGUUAGUAUGUAUAGCUUCCUUAAUAGCUCCAAUGAGAAUCCUCACAAUGAUAUCAAAUUGGUACUACUUGAACCUUGAGGACAAGGUUCUUAUUGGGGCUGAAGGUAUUGUUAUGAAUGGGCCUAGACCAGUAUUGACAAAGCAGCCCAAAGCCGAAUUAAAAGGGCUAUGUGUGGGAUCCGGGUUGAUAAAUAGAGACUUGGGAGAGCAAAAUAGUUUUAUGCAAAUUAUGUGAAGCUUUGGCUUUCUGAUCCUCUCAUCUCCUUUCUAUGGUCUAGAAUCUCAUCCCCUUCUAGUUACCCUCUUCUAUGUUAUCUAUCUAUAAUUAGUGUGUUGUUACUUUGUUGUGGGUAUUAUACAUUGUAACUUGUAUUCCGUAAUAACAAUAUAUAUAUCAGUGUUUGUGUUGAAAAUUGAGUUUGUUACACGGUGCCAUUGAAAUCUGCUUAAUGCUUAUGAGGUAUUCAUGAGCCGGUGACUGUGGUUGCAUCUUGCACGAAGCUUGAAAGUUCAAGGUAAGUUUUUUAGAUCAAUACUUUUUUCUCCCAAAUGCUACUUUUGAAUCAUCAUACUUAUCUAUGGAACAAUGUCAAGUCUUAUAUAUGGUAGAAAUCUAUAUAAGUUUCUUAAUAGACUCAUAAAAAACUAUCUUUAUUUUCAUGCUUUAUCAGUAGAAACUUUAUGGAUAUUUGACACACUUCUCGUUACUUUCACUUCACAGGAUAAUUUCUCCGUUGAUAUUGGAAAGUGAAUUGGAAAUAUUAUUUCCCUGUAUGUGGAAGAUCCGAAAAGGAUUCAUGAAUGAUUAAGUUUGUUGCACAUGAAUCAUGAUAAUCAGUAGAGGCUUUUUGCGUAUGUUGAAUUAAUCAUUAAAGGUCACAGACAUGAAUAAGAUUUGCGAAAAUGCAGUCUAGGAAAUGAAGUUUUUAC